CCGGCCCUGCGGUGCGCGUGAUGACUCGAUGCGGUCUUGAGCCAACACUCUGAGAGUCGGGAGCUGCCCGGCGCGCGGUGUGCCUCGCGUUCGGAUGUGGCACCCACCUGCGAAAGCAGGUUCAAGGCUCCAUCUCACACGGCACCCGCGGGGUUGGU
This 158-nucleotide non-coding RNA is filed under the name Chloroflexia bacterium. RNAcentral describes it as "6S RNA". It matches the Rfam family "6S / SsrS RNA". From Rfam's summary of the family: E. coli 6S RNA was the first non coding RNA to be sequenced, but its function was unknown until recently. Lineage: Bacteria; Bacillati; Chloroflexota; Chloroflexia. The record is from RNAcentral.